GUGUAGUUUGAAAGGAGAGCAAGUUAGCGCUCCCCUAGACAAGGAUAGAAUCACGUAAAUGGCUGAAAGAGGUACUAGAUCAGAAGAUUAAGCUGAAGUUAUGC
RNAcentral lists this non-coding RNA (104 nucleotides) under Glossina austeni. The record is from RNAcentral. Lineage: Eukaryota; Metazoa; Arthropoda; Insecta; Diptera; Glossinidae.